This 435-nucleotide ribosomal RNA is filed under the name uncultured bacterium. Its description in RNAcentral is "partial 16S ribosomal RNA". It matches the Rfam family "Bacterial small subunit ribosomal RNA", at positions 29 to 507 of the family's 1533-position model. The record is from RNAcentral.
AGCGAACGCUGGCGGCAGGCUUAACACAUGCAAGUCGAACGGGCAUAGCAAUAUGUCAGUGGCAGACGGGUGAGUAACGCGGGGGAACGUACCUUUUGGUUCGGAACAACACAGGGAAACUUGUGCUAAUACCGGCUAAGCCCUUACGGGGAAAGAUUUAUCGCCGAAAGUUCGGCCCGCGUCUGAUUAGCUAGUUGGUAGGGUAAGGGCCUACCAAGGCGACGUUCAGUAGCUGGUCUGUGAGGAUGGGCAGCGACAUUGACACUGAGACACAGCCCGGAAUCCUCCGGGAGGCGGCAGUGGGGAAUAUUGGACCAUGGCGGAAAGCAUGAUGCAGCCAUGCCGGGUGAGUGCUGAAGGCAGUAGGGUUGUAAAGCUCUUUUGUGCGGGAAGGUAAUGACGGUACCGAAAGAAUAAGCCCCGGCUAACUUCGUG